This is a non-coding RNA of Prunus mume (Japanese apricot), 1877 nucleotides long. The record is from RefSeq and is a predicted model, not a curated record. Lineage: Eukaryota; Viridiplantae; Streptophyta; Magnoliopsida; Rosales; Rosaceae.
UAACCUAACUACUCUCCUCUCUCCUUACGCGGCCUCACUCUCUCAAAUACGGCUUCUCUCUCUCUCUCUCUCUCUCUCAACUCUCAAACACGGCUUCUCUCUCACAGACUCGAACUCAUCUCCUCUCUCUCUCGAUCUCAGUUCUGUCUCUUCUCUUUCAUUGCUUUUGACCCUGUUCAUGUUAAAGGGAUUGUUGCUGAAGUGAAUUAACGUUUUGGAGGUUGGAGCAUUUGGUUUUGCAGAGGACGGAUUUCUCAACCAAAAACCAGAGCGUGAUGGCAAGUAGAGUAGCCUUACCUUCUUGGCUACUGUUUUUGAAUCCUUCUUCCCCUUGAAAAUAUUAUCAAGUAGUAAAUGCAGGAAAUGCCCAAAUGGUCCAAGAUAAACAGCUCCAACAAGCUGCAUGCAGAAAUGCAAGGUUACAAUGGAAAACACAUGUAAUAUUACCUGUACACAUCAAAAUUGACAUAUUAGCAAUAGACAAUUAUGCUCAUAGCAAACAUUAUAGUCUCUUCUUUCUUUCUGCACAUUAAUACUUCAGGGCCAAGCUAAUAGAGUCCUGAAGAUCCGCCCAAACUUCUUAGAGAUACAGAAUCUACUAAGAAAAACGAAAACGUAUAUAUCACCCAAUAAUGAUUGUAAUUAUGAUGCAUAAUGAGUUUUAGUCAUCAUGCCUGACAACAAUGCUGUAUAUUUUGCAUUUUAUCACGUUACUGGAAUAUUUUAUGUUUGCUACACUAGUUUGUAAAAGGGGUUAGUGAUACUAUCUUCUUUUACUGCAUGCCUUAAUCCAAAAACCCAGGUCAGGGGUGUGAUUUGCAGGGUGAGGUUAUAGGCAUCCACCUAAUUGAAAUGCACUGCAGUGUAAUCAUGUUCAUAUGUGUUAUGUUGGUCAUUCAGACCAAAUCUAGCUGAAAACGUAUUCUAAUUAAGGUCGAACAAUGGCUAUGAGUUUAGGCAAAUGAAAUGUGUGCGUGUGUGUGACAAUGAUCUAACAGAAAGAGCAUCAGUAAGCUACAGUUGGAAAUUGGGAUUUUCCCAUUCAUUUAGCUUAACUGCUUAGUACCCAAUUAUACAGAAUAGAAGAAAGGAAAACACAGUUGCGAGCGCACACAGAUACACAAAUCAAAUAUACAGAAUAUUCUGUGUAAUUGGAAAACCAAGAAACCAAAAAAUAAAAUGGGGAGCUUACCACUUUGAGAAACAGACGUCUUAACUGAUGUUUCUGAACCCCGGUGAGCUUCCGAGACACUAUGUCACUGAUCGCUGACAAAACCCCACUGUAAUUGCCAGUUGGAAUAAGAAAAUAAGAAAAGAAGGUAUCACCAAAAAUUCCCAAUUAACAGCAUUUGAUGGCUAGGACCUCAGAGAAACUGAAUUAUCACAAGCACCCGUCAUAAUUGAGUUUAAAAGACAAUAUCUUUGAAAACUCAAAUGAGAAAACAACCUAAACUUUCAGAAAUUCUAUUUUUUUUGGCUUCCUUCAACUUUCUGGGAAACUAAGCAGGAGUUUAAACUGAAAACAGUCUAAAUCAAAGUAAACCCAAGUGACAAAAAUUGGACUGAACCAAACAAUCCAAGUGAUAUUAACAGAGACAUGGGAUUUGACCUUAGUUCUGAGACGAUGAUGCUGAUACUGAAGCAAGUACUGCUGCAACCCUUUCUUUGCAAUCGACCCCAUGCUUUCCUUGUUACAACAAAGUCUUCCAAUGGCAAUUCUUGAGAGGAACUAAAACUGUUUGCACUUCUCAGUUUAUAGUUUGGAGGCAAUAUCUGACUGCGAGUCGGAGAUGUUGUUUGUAUUGUAAUUUCUAAUUUGUAUGGUCUUGCAUUGAAACCUUCUCCCAAGCUUAGGGGUGUAUUCAAUUAAGAUUUUA